UACGUAGGGUGCAAGCGUUAAUCGGAAUUACUGGGCGUAAAGCGUGCGCAGGCGGCUUUGCAAGACAGAUGUGAAAUCCCCGGGCUCAACCUGGGAACUGCAUUUGUGACUGCAAGGCUGGAGUACGGCAGAGGGGGAUGGAAUUCCGCGUGUAGCAGUGAAAUGCGUAGAUAUGCGGAGGAACACCGAUGGCGAAGGCAAUCCCCUGGGCCUGUACUGACGCUCAUGCACGAAAGCGUGGGGAGCAAACAGG
RNAcentral lists this ribosomal RNA (253 nucleotides) under uncultured bacterium. Its description in RNAcentral is "partial 16S ribosomal RNA". It matches the Rfam family "Bacterial small subunit ribosomal RNA", at positions 524 to 776 of the family's 1533-position model. The record is from RNAcentral.